Long non-coding RNA from Dicentrarchus labrax (European seabass), 2178 nucleotides. RefSeq lists it as uncharacterized. The record is from RefSeq and is a predicted model, not a curated record. The transcript is spliced from 2 exons. NCBI's taxonomy places the organism in Eukaryota, Metazoa, Chordata, Actinopteri, Moronidae.
AUCGCGACCAGCCAGGUCCAGACGCAUGAUGGCGUGGGGCAGGGCGUAACCCUCAUAGACUGGGACGUUGUGGGUCACACCAUCACCAGCAUCCAGCACAAUACCUGGAGAGAGGCAAAGCAAGAGUUUAGUAAAGUCCAGAUCCUCCAAUUAGCUUCUCUUAUUAUUUUCUCCGGUAUUUACCUGGUGACGGGGGCGGCCAACAAUGGAGGGGAACACAGCCCUGGGGGCAUCGUCUCCGGCGAAGCCAGCCUUCACAAGGCCGGAGCCGUUGUCGCACACAAGGGCGGUAGUCUCAUCGUCGUCACACAUGUUGAGUUCUGUAAAAGAGAGGAGGGGAAGAAAAGGAGUUCAGAUCCACAUUGCGAGACAUACUCUGUGUGGCAUAGAUGAUUUUGGUUCGCAGCUUUUGUUUCCUGUAAGCUCUCAUUAGGUGUCUUAAUAUUAAAGACUAAAAAGACUGAAUUGUAACAUUUACUGGAGCAUGAUCAGGCCCAUGUCUUGCGCUAAAUGUAUCCAUGGCGCACUGACACCAGGCCAUUACGCAUUACGUAUACGCCUGUACAAACCAAUAAAAUCAAUAUGGAACUAAACUGCUGUUUUCCUUCAGAUAUCUAUCUGGAUUUGAUGACUCUCGACUAAUAUAUCCUUUAUAUUAUUCUAAUUUGGUGAGAGUACAUCUAUGCGAAUUCUUAAGAAAUAUCAUCUAAGGUGUUCUGAAAGACAUCUGUCUGUCCCAGCCUCUCUCAGGUAAACUGUCCUGGCUUAAUUGGUCUGAAAGUGCACUGCUUCUUACAGCAUCAGCACCUUUUCAGGAUUCAAUGUUAGACCUAUGAAGAAACUAAAGCUGGUCUACUUUAUCUAUCGAUCCAUGUAUCGAUCCAUGUAUCUAGCCAUACUUUCCAGACCUAAUAGUUCAGAUAAAUACUUCUCCUGUCUCCUUUCCUGUGAUAUCUCAGUCUAUUAUUUACAAAUCUUUUCCUUCUCCUUCAGUAGAAGGCCUGUCCUACAGUCUAGUCUAUCCUCCAGUGGAGUUGCCCAUGUUGCCUCCAGUAGUAUCUGGUCCUAGGCGUCCUGUCCCUGGCAGUCCUCCCUAACUUCUGCUCCAGUAGAUGCUCCAGUGUUGUGCUGGUUAAGGCCUAGUCUGAUGUCCCAACCUGGACUUGAGGCUUCAGGAGUGGCAGGUCCUAGCAGGGUCUUACCUUAGGAGUGUGUCUGCGGGGCUCGGAGAGAAUGACCCAACCAGUGCUGCUGCUGAACCAGCUACGGUCUUCUGUCCUGCCUGUCCACCUUAUAUACCCAACCUCCACCAUUCACAAACCUCAGCACUGGCCCCCAUCCCGGCCCUCUGCCAUAUUAGGACGCUGACAGUCCGAGGAUGAGGAGUGGCUGGGGGUGUGGGUGGGGAAGGGGGGGUCCAGCAAGGAGGCGCGCCUCGCAGAGGGAAGGAGGGAGCUCCAUCCAUCAAGAUCCACGAGAGAAUCAGCAGUGACGCUGCGCGCCCCCGACGAGGAGAGAGCGCGCGCCAUAUAUGGAACUGUCGCUUUGACCUCCCAUCGAGCCUCGCGGUCCCACCUCGAGGGCCGUAUAAGGAGCGCGCGGGCCACUGGGGGUUUUCUAGGGGAGACGCCAGUUGCUACCAACCAGGGUUAUAGAUUUGCUGCUAGUAGGCCUCAUCCAGCCUUAAAAUGGGAAAAUGCUGCUCUCAUCUGAACAGAUUUAGACCACGGUGAGAGCCAGGGCCCAAACUACUGACUGACAGGUGAACCAGGAACAGUGCUGCAGCCUGAAAGUGCCAAUUAAGAGUUCAAUACACAUUAUGGUGAUCAAUACAAGAUAACACAAAAUAAUUUGAUAAAAGCUGAGGAGGAACUGUCUGUGUGUAAACAGUUCAAUAUGUCUGCUUCAUCAGUCCAGUCUUUUCAGUAACAAUAAAUAAUCAUUAGUAAUCAAUAUUUGUAAUUGAUUGCAUUAAAUGAAGAAGCCUGAUUGACCCUAGCUUGCAUUAAAAAGCCCAGUGUGGAAGCUGGAGGCCUUUUACAUCAGUGUAAGUAAAUUAUUUCUUCCAAUUAUCAGCUUUAUAUGACUGUACAACAAUGUUCUAAUAAUCCUGCUGCUGGUCACUGAACGUUACCCAACAGGAUUUUGUUGUAUGCAAAUAAAGUGUCUUAUUUCUUA